RNAcentral lists this ribosomal RNA (406 nucleotides) under uncultured bacterium. Its description in RNAcentral is "partial 16S ribosomal RNA". It matches the Rfam family "Bacterial small subunit ribosomal RNA", at positions 30 to 526 of the family's 1533-position model. The record is from RNAcentral.
AUUGAACGCUGGCGGCAGGCUUAACACAUGCAAGUCGAGCGAGCGGCGGACGGGUGAGUAAUGUCUGGGAAACUGCCUGAUGGAGGGGGAUAACUACUGGAAACGGUAGCUAAUACCGCAUACCAUCAGAUGUGCCCAGGUUGGAUUAGCUAGUAGGUGGGUUAAUGGCUCACCUAGGCGACGAUCCCUAGCCGGUCUGAGAGGAUGACCGGCCCCACGGGAACGGAGACACGGUCCAGACUCUUACGGGAGGCAGCAGGGGGGAAUAUUGGACAAUGGGCGCAAGCCGGAUGCAGCAAUGCCGCGUGUGUGAAGAAGGCCUUCGGGUUGUAAAGCACGUUCAGCGAGGAGGCGUUACUCGCAGAAGAAGCACCGGCUAACUCCGUGCCAGCAGCCGCGGUAAUUC